RNAcentral lists this ribosomal RNA (447 nucleotides) under uncultured bacterium. Its description in RNAcentral is "partial 16S ribosomal RNA". It matches the Rfam family "Bacterial small subunit ribosomal RNA", at positions 29 to 507 of the family's 1533-position model. The record is from RNAcentral.
AACGAACGCUGGCGGCAUGCCUAACACAUGCAAGUCGAACGAUGCCUUCGGGCAUAGUGGCGCACGGGUGCGUAACGCGUGGGAAUCUGCCCUUGGCUUCGGAAUAACAGUUAGAAAUGACUGCUAAUACCGGAUGAUGUCCCCCUGAGAGAUCUUGGGGACCAAAGAUUUAUCGGCCAGGGAUGAGCCCGCGUAGGAUUAGGUAGUUGGUGGGGUAAAGGCCUACCAAGCCGACGAUCCUCAGCUGGUCUGAGAGGAUGAUCAGCCACACUGGGACUGAGACACGGCCCAGACUCCUACGGGAGGCAGCAGUGGGGAAUAUUGGACAAUGGGGGGAACCCUGAUCCAGCAAUGCCGCGUGAGUGAUGAAGGCCUUAGGGUUGUAAAGCUCUUUUACCAGGGAUGAUAAUGACAGUACCUGGAGAAUAAGCUCCGGCUAACUCCGUG